Molecule: ribosomal RNA, 643 nt
Filed under: uncultured archaeon
Lineage: Archaea
Description: bacterial SSU rRNA
Rfam family: Archaeal small subunit ribosomal RNA
Source: RNAcentral
UACCGGAUAGGCAAUUAUUCCUGCAAUGGUUUUUUGUUUAAAUGUUUUUUCGCCUAAGGAUGGGUCUGCGGCCGAUUAGGUAGUUGGUUAGGUAAUGGCUUACCAAGCCGUUGAUCGGUACGGGUUGUGAGAGCAAGAGCCCGGAGAUGGAACCUGAGACAAGGUUCCAGGCCCUACGGGGUGCAGCAGGCGCGAAACCCCCGCAAUGUGAGAAAUCGCGACGGGGGGGUCCCAAGUGCCAUUCUUAACGGGAUGGCUUUUCAUUAGUGUAAAGAGCUUUUGGAAUAAGAGCUGGGCAAGACCGGUGCCAGCCGCCGCGGUAACACCGGCAGCUCUAGUGGUAACAAUUUUUAUUGGGCCUAAAGCGUCCGUAGCCGGUUUAAUAAGUCUCUGGUGAAAUCCUGUAGCUUAACUGUGGGAAUUGCUGGAGAUACUAUUAGACUUGAGACCGGGAGAGGUUAGAGGUACUCCCAGGGUAGAGGUGAAAUUCUGUAAUCCUGGGAGGACCGCCUGUUGCGAAGGCGUCUAACUGGAACGGUUCUGACGGUGAGGGACGAAAAGUUAGGGGCACGAACCGGAUUAGAUACCCGGGUAGUCCUAACUGUAAACGAUGCGGACUUGGUGUUGGGGUGGCUUUGAGCUG